This is a long non-coding RNA of Hordeum vulgare subsp. vulgare (domesticated barley), 880 nucleotides long. RefSeq lists it as uncharacterized. NCBI's taxonomy places the organism in Eukaryota, Viridiplantae, Streptophyta, Magnoliopsida, Poales, Poaceae. The record is from RefSeq and is a predicted model, not a curated record. The transcript has 2 exons.
UCUUCACACAUCUCCAUUGCUCCGCCUCCAUCUUCCUUCUCUCGGGACCUUAUCCAUCAGCCAGCGGCCGCUCAUUUUCCUGGUCAUACAGCCCACGAGGUACCCCACCCCCAGCUCCUUCCUACCUACGACAGGUCGUGCUCCACCUCAGACCACGAAGUCUGUCCGCGUUCCAGCCAUAUUCACGGCUUCGUUCCUCUUCCUCGACUGUGGCAAGGGCGAUUGCUGCCGCACGCCCAUGUGAUUUCGUGCUGAAGACAAGAAAUUAGAUAGGAGGAAGAUGAUGGAUUAGACAUGAGGAAAAGGACGGAUGAGGAGGAGCCGCGCUAGGGAUCUGUUCUUUGGCCGGCUAGAUUGGAGGAGGAAGGAGAAGCUUUAUUUGUGCUAGAAUAAGAAUCCAGACAAAAACGUGCAUCCGGAGCCGUCGUCGCACCAGCAGCAGGAGACCGAACCGUCAUGGCCAUGGAGCACCGCCGCCACCGGCCUCCACUACACGCCGCCGAGCUUGAUCCCUACCUCAUUCGCCUCGCGCCGAUGUCCACCGCUUCCCUAUCGUUGCCGUCUCGGAGAGCCCUGCCGCCGUCGACCUGCGUCAUGUCCUGAUCGGAUCAAAAGCGCGUCCGCUCGAUCUGCAUCCAGGCGAGAAAAAGAUCGAACCGUUUUUUCUCCCCUCAGCAAGGACUGCGGGUUGAUUACCAUAAAAUAGAAGGUUUUUUCUGCAAAAACGCCAUGACGGACGACACAAGCAGUAGCUGCUUUAUUAUUAGUAUUAGUAUAUAUAAGUAAGGAUGAAGUAGGGUGUUCAUGUUACGAGGCUUUGUGCUUCCUUGUUUGUUAGUGCCAAACCCCUUUGCAAUCGCUCCAAAAUUGUUGCAUCUCU